Long non-coding RNA from Triticum aestivum (bread wheat), 3356 nucleotides. RefSeq lists it as uncharacterized. The transcript is spliced from 2 exons. Lineage: Eukaryota; Viridiplantae; Streptophyta; Magnoliopsida; Poales; Poaceae. The record is from RefSeq and is a predicted model, not a curated record.
UCUUACCCUAGUCCAUCUACCGAGCCGGAGGCCACGCACUAAGCCGCACCAGCCAGCGUCCAGGCUGUAAAAUUACACCGGUAUCUAUCUAAUUUUACGUUUAUGUGCCCACGUUCCCGUCCACCUUCCAUCCACGUCCUUUUCUUUUCUUGAGUUAAAAAAAGGUUGCCAACGGUUCGAGAUUAUCGACGGCGAACAACAUGCGGGGAUACGGCGGCGGCGUGCUCCGUGAUUUGGCACGGCGAGAUUUUGCUCGCGGAGCGCCGUGCUGCUCGGCGGCGUGGUGUCGACACUGGGGUGGUCGCUGGGCGAUUGGGGCGGCCUGGUGUGCCCCGCUGGUGAGAUGUGCCGCCGUCAUGGUUGACAGCUUCCUCGAGCACGGCCUCCUCGGAUCCGUCCUCCUCGUCCCCAGAUCCAUCCUUCCAUAUUCAGUUGCAUGCCGCUAAAUCAGUCGGGACAGACCCCAAUCUGCUCGCUCAGGUGCCCCUCGAGCUCCCAAUUGGACUAAUGUCUGAUGGAUCUGGGUUCUCCGGAUGGUGGUGUUGAAGGGACCCGAGUGGCUAACAACGUGACCGGCAAGCGGGAGGCAACCACAACCAGCGUCCUCGAGCUCUACUACUAAUCAUUCUGUCAUCAGUGGCAGUGUGCAAGAAGAAUACGGAUGGAUGUGUCCACAAGCAAGAUAGCAAGCAUAUCUCCAGGGACCGAUGGUUGUUGAUAGGCAGGGGCUAAAUGGCAUGUCAAAGAGGGGGAGAGAGACAUAAGAGGAGACGCCGUGGCUGGAGGUGCUCCUCUCCUUUAUGUCUAGCUUCCUCAGUCUCUGUAAUACAUCGUAUUUGUUUUCUAAUAUGUGUAUCGUCUUAACACACUGUGCACGGAUCUGCCUAACGGAAGAGGAAGAAUUUGGUGAAGAAGAACACGGUGAUUUUAUUGUUUCUUUCUUUUUCACACAAACAAGUUUGUUCCUGCAUUUUGAUUUGAUGAUUUGUGAUAAUUGUAAACAUGAGUUCUGCGUAUUCGGGAAAUAAGAAAACACUAAAGAAGUUUGGCAUUUUGAUUUGAUGAUUUGUGAUCAUUGUAAACAUAAAGUCUUUUGAUAGCUCGAAAAAUUGUAUAAUCUUUCCAGUCUCUUAUUCUUUGUUCUUUCUAUUUGACCAAGUAAUAACUUUUAACUCUAGUUUGGCAAUGAUCAAUGCACAGUUCUGCUGUUUCCAUUAGGCAGCUGGUGUGUUGGUUGAGGACAGGUUUGACUAUUUGAGUAGUUGUUUUUUCCUCUUGGAGUAAUUGGCUUAGUGUUUUUUUCUUUUGCGCUUGCUCUUGGCAAGUUUUUGUAUGAUAUAAUGUUUUUCUAUUGUUGGAAGGGCAGCCCUCCCGUGUUUUGUUACAAAUAAUCAUGGCCUGCAGGAAAAAGAGCUCAGUUGCUGAAGAGAUACACUUGAAAAAGAAGCUACAAGCUUCACUAAAUAAGUCAACAUCAGUGUUUAGUUGUUGAGCAAGGAUAGUCUAAAAAAACUAUUCAGAAGCAUUUUGAGAAAUUUCUUUUCUUCUUCUUUAAUUUGCCUGGUUCAUUAAUCCUCUUGUAUAAUGGGACGUUUCACCUUACAUUCAGUAUCUAACUAAACUAGAAAUUAAACAUUGGCUGCUGGAUAUAUGUCAGAUGACGUGCACAUAUGGUGUUUUCUUUUGAUAUUUCUCUGCCAGGAAAUUAGGUGUUGUCAAGGAAAUAAUCUUCUUGUCAACAAUUCCAUUUUUUUAAUAUUCGCUUUACAUAACUUUGUUAAGAAUUGGAGCAAAAUUUAGAGCUGAAUUGAUGUUUCAGGGCUACUAUCUUAUAGAUAUAGUACAAUCAAUUGGCUGGCUACUAUGUGAUGGUCUACUUGGUUUGAGGAGCUAUCUGGUUAUCUCUGUACAAGCAUGCUUAUAUCCUGAAUGAAUGUGAUGUUACAUUGAGUCGCUCAUUGAUUGUUGUAUUUUAGUUUUUUAGCUAUUAAGAUAGCCAUUCAAUUACAUUAACCUUUGCAGGUGCCAGAACCUGAAAUGGCGAAAUAUACUUUUAUCUAGUUAGAUUUUAUUAUUACUGCAUAGUAAAAUGAAUUGUAGCCUAAAGAUUGUCUGCCUUCAUAAGAAAGAAAUACUUCUUAAAAUGAUCAUAUGGUGCAGUCCCAGCCUGCGUUUUGACGGCCUGUCUCAAAACUGUAGCCUCGUAUGGCCCAAGGUGAGCUAAAUGCUGAAUCCACCGAACCUUUUCAUAGUAUAGGUUGUGUAGUGUUUUUCAUCUAUGUUUUUGUGAGCUAAACGAUGUUAGUGUUUUAUAGUUCACUUGCAAUUCUUUUUGAAAAUCCAAGUUCCCUCAUCAUAUUUGAGCAGUCAAGGUAAAUCCAACAUGGAAUUUUUGAGUUUUUUAUUCUUAGUAUGUGAUGCAGUAGUCACUACGAAGAUAUAAUUCAUGCCAGCCAUGUAUUACUAAAAGCAGAAGAAUCCUAUUUAUUGAAUUUGUACUUUCCAAUAGUCUGCUUCACUCACUACCAAGAUUUAACUUAUGUUUUGGCAUACUCUUGAAACGAGCAUAAAUACUUGAGAUUUAAUGUACUCUAUAUGUCCUAUUGUGGCAUGCUACUCACUCUACAAAUUUAGAUCUGAAUAUUUAGUAUCUAUCUUACUAUUUAGUCUUGGUGGGAAGUGAGCCACCUGCACUAGAAAAAUUAGAAUGUAGCACAUGCAAAUACUAUGAAAAAUACUUUCAUACUUAACACAUUUGUUCUAGAGCUGAUUGAAUCGCUACCUUGUCUAAUGUGACUCAGAAAUAUAUUACUGUUAAUGUAGUUUUUUUGUGUGGACUAUACCAUUAAUGUAGUUGGUAAACUUAUAAUGUGAUCUUGCUUUCCUUAUGUUUCCAACCCUUCUUAUCAUUGUCAGUUUAGGAUUUGUAAGUUUAACAUGGUUAUUUCGCUUGUAGGCUUUUGAUGUCGUGGAUGGUAAAUGAGCAAAACAUACCAACUCAUUAUGUCCCAGUUUUAAGGCAUCCCUGUUUAGUGACUCCAUCUUGAUUCAGCUGGCUACAACACUUGAUCUGGCUAGAUGUCCACUAGAUUGUGGCUGCAGUGUGAAUUGUUUUCUUUCUUUUUUGGGUGUGAAUUCAUGCGUGGUUUGAUGGUAUGCCAUCUUCUCUGGACACAAUAGCUAAUAGCCCAUGGAAACAAAGCCAAGUGGUCAGUGGAAGUACUUUCUUGGAAGAAACAGAUGAAUCAUAGUUAUUUGCUUUCCGAAUCUGUAUAUUCUUCCAUCUUCUUGAUGUAAAGCAUCAUGAUUUUUUUACAAUUGUCAAGUAUCAUGAUAAAAAUGAAUUCUUACAUUUA